UCUUAUCAUUUGGUAUCAAAGCAAUGAUCCUUGGUGUUCUCGCUACAGUGUUGCCGUAGCUAUUAUCAUCAAAAAAAAAAAAAGGAAAAGAGAAGAAGAAGAAGCUGUAGCCCGCCACAGCCCUGCUUCCCUUCUUCCCCACCGCCACUGCAAAGCAACUCUUUCUCCAUCGCCACUACUGUUUCCCCGGCUGCUUGACCACCAUCGC
RNAcentral lists this long non-coding RNA (208 nucleotides) under Musa acuminata (dwarf banana). Its description in RNAcentral is "long non-coding RNA (MACU_LNC010368)". The record is from RNAcentral. Lineage: Eukaryota; Viridiplantae; Streptophyta; Magnoliopsida; Zingiberales; Musaceae.